CCCCCCCCCCCAAGAAAGAAAAAUGUAAUUAUUAUGCCUAGAAAAGUGAGCAGGAGGCUACAGAUCGGUGACGCUCCCAUACGGGAAAUGUAAGUUCCAAGUUGUGUAUAAUGAAAUUUACUAAUUGAUCAAGUUGUCCAAGAGAACGGCACAAUCCAAGUAAGGAACAUAAUAUAAAAGCGACAGUGAAAUGCUGUCUCCAUUGUAAAUAGUUGGUCGUUUCAGGCUCCGGCCAUGACAACACAGACAUCACUGAGAUUGAUUUGACUGACAAUACUAAGAGGAUGUGAUUAUUAAUAAUUGUAUUGAGCAAAUGUAUGAAGAAUAUGUCAACAUUUACAGUAAUAAACAACCAAAAUAUUGUAUAUAAUACUGGGUCAGAAAUGUACGUAGGUACAUAUCCAAAUGGAAGCUGUUAUGAUAUCUAACCCUAACUGUGUACAUUACAGUAACUAUUUCAUACAUAGUUUUGGCUUUUGCACUAGUCUUUAUCAGCUAUUAGUAGUAUUGGACGGAAGGGGAAGUAACUGAGACAGGACACCUUCAUUGUGUCCUUCCUUUUUUUAUAGUCAUCUCAGCUUCAAACUGUCAGUUUUUUUUCCAGAAUAAAAUACCUAUACUCAGAUGUGGAAGAAUUAGCGGAGUUGCAGACGGUAGUGCUUCAAAAGUACCAUGACAAGAACAAAAGGAGGGAGGAAGAACAGUUUUCUUCCUUUUUUUUAAAAAAAAGUUAAAAUUAGGAUCAGAAAAUACAAAUCAAACAAAUGAUUUCAGAAUAAAACUAUCUUAUUCCAUA
This is a long non-coding RNA of Schistocerca serialis cubense, 796 nucleotides long. RefSeq lists it as uncharacterized. The record is from RefSeq and is a predicted model, not a curated record. NCBI's taxonomy places the organism in Eukaryota, Metazoa, Arthropoda, Insecta, Orthoptera, Acrididae. The transcript is spliced from 2 exons.